This 62-nucleotide transfer RNA is filed under the name Elateroidea sp. 2 KM-2017. Its description in RNAcentral is "tRNA-Leu". The record is from RNAcentral. Lineage: Eukaryota; Metazoa; Arthropoda; Insecta; Coleoptera.
AUUACUUUGACAGAAUAGUGUGUUUGAUUUAGAAUCAUAUAAUGUAUUAAUUACAUGUAAUU